This 240-nucleotide ribosomal RNA is filed under the name uncultured bacterium. RNAcentral's name for it is "partial 16S ribosomal RNA". It matches the Rfam family "Bacterial small subunit ribosomal RNA", at positions 15 to 257 of the family's 1533-position model. The record is from RNAcentral.
GAUCCUGGCUCAGAUUGAACGCUGGCGGCAGGCUUAACACAUGCAAGUCGAGCGGAGAGAGGUAGCUUGCUACUGAUCUUAGCGGCGGACGGGUGAGUAAUACUUAGGAAUCUGGCUAUUAGUGGGGGACAACAUUUCGAAAGGGAUGCUAAUACCGCAUACGUCCUACGGGAGAAAGCAGGGGAUCUUCGGACCUUGCGCUAAUAGAUGAGCCUAAGUCGGAUUAGCUAGUUGGUGGGG